UGGACAAAUUAUUGUAUUCGACUGUAUUCACGGCGUGAAACAUGGGAUUACACUGUUUUUAAACGGAAAGUGUAUCAAUUAACAUAAUAGACUCCU
MicroRNA precursor from Nicotiana attenuata, 96 nucleotides. It matches the Rfam family "MIR6152 microRNA precursor family". The record is from Rfam. NCBI's taxonomy places the organism in Eukaryota, Viridiplantae, Streptophyta, Magnoliopsida, Solanales, Solanaceae.